RNAcentral lists this unclassified non-coding RNA (220 nucleotides) under Borreliella garinii. RNAcentral's name for it is "partial miscellaneous RNA". The record is from RNAcentral. Lineage: Bacteria; Pseudomonadati; Spirochaetota; Spirochaetia; Spirochaetales; Borreliaceae.
CUGCGAGUUCGCGGGAGAGUAAGUUAUUGCCAGGGUUUUUAUUUUAUACUUUAAACAUUGAUUUUAUUUUUUAUGUUUUUAGAUGUUCAUGUUUUUGAAUGUUUUAUUUAAAUAAUAUAAAAAAUAAAAUAUAUAUUGACAUGGAUUAAACAAAGAUAUAUAUUAUUCUAUGUUGCAUAAACAAAUUGGCAAAAUAGAGAUGGAAGAUAAAAAUAUGGUC